UGCAGUUGUAGCUCAGUGGUAGAGCACUUGCCUAGAACGUGUGAGGCACUGGGUUCGAUCCUCAGCACCAAGUAA
This 75-nucleotide transfer RNA is filed under the name Marmota monax (woodchuck). RNAcentral describes it as "tRNA.Ser". The stretch from base 7 to 67 matches the Rfam family "tRNA", at positions 6 to 65 of the family's 71-position model. From Rfam's summary of the family: Transfer RNA (tRNA) molecules are approximately 80 nucleotides in length. Their secondary structure includes four short double-helical elements and three loops (D, anti-codon, and T loops). Further hydrogen bonds mediate the characteristic L-shaped molecular structure. tRNAs have two regions of fundamental functional importance: the anti-codon, which is responsible for specific mRNA codon recognition, and the 3' end, to which the tRNAs corresponding amino acid is attached (by aminoacyl-tRNA synthetases). tRNAs cope with the degeneracy of the genetic code in two manners: having more than one tRNA (with a specific anti-codon) for a particular amino acid; and 'wobble' base-pairing, i.e. permitting non-standard base-pairing at the 3rd anti-codon position. The record is from RNAcentral. Lineage: Eukaryota; Metazoa; Chordata; Mammalia; Rodentia; Sciuridae.